RNAcentral lists this ribosomal RNA (497 nucleotides) under uncultured bacterium. RNAcentral describes it as "partial 16S ribosomal RNA". It matches the Rfam family "Bacterial small subunit ribosomal RNA", at positions 28 to 507 of the family's 1533-position model. The record is from RNAcentral.
GAUGAACGCUGGCGGCGUGCCUAAUACAUGCAAGUCGAGCGAACAGACGAGGAGCUUGCUCCUCUGACGUUAGCGGCGGACGGGUGAGUAACACGUGGAUAACCUACCUAUAAGACUGGGAUAACUUCGGGAAACCGGAGCUAAUACCGGAUAAUAUAUUGAACCGCAUGGUUCAAUAGUGAAAGACGGUUUUGCUGUCACUUAUAGAUGGAUCCGCGCCGCAUUAGCUAGUUGGUAAGGUAACGGCUUACCAAGGCAACGAUGCGUAGCCGACCUGAGAGGGGGAUAGGCCACACUGGAACUGAGACACGGUCCAGACUCCUACGGGAGGCAGCAGUAGGGAAUCGUACGCAAUGGGCGAAAGCCUGACGGAGCAACGCCGCGUGAGUGAUGAAGGUCUUCGGAUCGGAAAACUCUGUUAUUAGGGAAGAACAAAUGUGUAAGUAACUAUGCACGUCUUGACGGUACCUAAUCAGAAAGCCACGGCUAACUACGUG